Molecule: long non-coding RNA, 3450 nt
Organism: Dicentrarchus labrax (European seabass)
Lineage: Eukaryota; Metazoa; Chordata; Actinopteri; Moronidae
Exons: 8
Source: RefSeq, a predicted model, not a curated record
UUUGGAGACGAAGAAGGCGGUUCGCUCUUUCACUCAUUCACGCUGUGAUUCUGUUUUCCAGGUGACUUGGCCAAAAGCUCCACUGAAGCAACAAAUGUGGGAGAGAGAAGCUCUAUGCAGACAGCAACAAGGGCAAAAAAAUUACAGAGGGUCCAGUGCUUGGUGUGUUUAGCUGAACUGAAGUAUCAUGUCAAUACUUCCUCCAUGAUUAGGCACUUCACUGACAAGCAUGGAGCUGCUGUUAACCAGGGGAACAUAAAUCAAGCAAGAGCUAGAUGAAGCUCUUGUGAAUAUGGUGGUGAAAGACUUGCAGCCUUUUUCCAACAUGGAUGACUGUGAUUUCAAGGAGUUUGUAGCAUUGCUUGAUCCCACAUACACUCUUCAAUCGAGACGGGCUCUAAAGAACAUGGUGGUCCAGAGAUACGAGGAGGAGAAGACCAAGGCCAAGGCUGUCAUGCAGAGGACAGAGGCUGUGAGCCUGUUAACUGAUAUGUGGACCUCCAUUAAUAUGGACGGAUAUCUAGCAGUGACCUGCCAUUAUGUGGAUGACUCUGUGAAGCUGGCCACAGUGCUUUUGGGAGUGCUGCCUUUCCCUGAAGCUCAUACAGCUGGUAACAUCACUGCUGCAACAAGGUCUCUCACUGAGGAAUGACUUUGAUUCCAUCUGGCACGAGGGCCUUUUCUAUAGGCUACUUGAAAGUGGUAUUAGAGGAAAAACAUAUGAUCUGAUUAAGAACAUGUAUACAAAAAGUGAAUGUGCCGUAAAGAUUGUUUUAGUUGUUUUUUAAUAUAUAUAUAUAUAUAUACAUAUACCUGGGGCCCGUAUCAGAAAGCAGGUUCAACAAACUCUGAGUUAAAACCUUAACUCUAGGUUGACCAACUCUGAGCUGUCAAACUCUGAGUUUUCAGUUUCAGAACGGGUGAAAACACUUCAAUCUACUCUGAGUCAAGGUAACCCUGAGUGAAGUCCAUGCAUGAGGAUAUAAACAGAUAACACAGAUAACAUGAUUCACCAUGGCAACAAGUGAUAAAAAGCCUCGAUCCUCCUACUUCUCCCCAGUGGAGUUGGAAAUAUUAUUCAAUUCAAUUCAAUUUUAUUUGUAUAGCGGCAAUUCAUAACAGAAGUUAUCUCAGGACACUUUUCAAAUAGAGCAGGUCUAGACUGAACUCUUUAUAACAUUUACAGAGACCCAACAGUACCACUACCAAUAUUAAUGACCGCAUAUGCAGAAAGUGAGCAUAUAUUUUUUAAAAAAGCAAUACUGUGGCAGCAGCAAAAGAGCGGGAGGUCGCGUGGCAGAAAAUUGCUGACGAGUCAAUGCGUGCAACCCAACAGGCACCGAACGGACUUGGCAGCAACUAAGGAUGAAAUAUAAAAAUUUAGUUCAAACAGCCAACAGAAAAAAGGCUGAGGUCCACAAAACAGGUGGCGGUCCACUACCACCACCUCUCACAGAGGCUGAAGAGAUGGCCCUCAGUCAGACCCAUUGCUGAGGGCAUCUCUGGGGGGAGCUCAUUGGACCCAGCCACGCCCCAGGACACAGGGGCCUACAUAAGAGUUACUGAUGGUGUAAUCUGUCUCGUGGAGCCUUCUGCCUUAACAGACCUCCAUGCUGUUGAGGAUGAUGAAGACACCUUAUCAGCUGCCACAGAGAGGGAAGAUGCAGAGAGGCCGUGGUCAUUGUCGGUGAAUUUUCGCCAUGCAUUUGAACGAACUCGUCUUAGGGAAUUUCUGGGAUCUGCUUCAAAAUUGGUCAGUACAGUCACAAAAUGGUGCUGAAUAAACGCUGUUCAUUUUUUCACUGUGCGUUGAAGGGCGUGUCCGUGGCGUGCCGUCAAAGUUGGCCAUUUUGAACGAAUGUCACACUGUGAUGUCAUUUUUGGCAUUUCAGGGCUUCUAUUUUAACUAACUCCUCCUACAGGUUCUAUUGGAUCUACUUCAAAAUUGGUCAGUGCAGUCAGUUUUUUUCGUCCAACAUUGUGCCCGUGGCGUGGCGUCCCGUGGCAUCCAAUUUCAAACCUUCGCCAUGAAAGAGGGAUUCGUCAUAACUUCUGCGUACAUGAUCCGACUGCAACGAAACUUCACAUGUUCGAUAAGAGUCCCGCCCUGAACAUGUCUAUGCCAUAAUAUUCGGUAAUAGUCAGAGCGCCACCUAGUGGCAACAGGAAGUAAGUGCUGCGUGGCGAUUUUGAGCUGAUUUACGUGAGAUUUUCAUGUCGUGGUCCGCACGUGUUACGACGGCAUUUUCAAUUGUGAUGCGGAUGUGAUGUGAUACCCAAUGUAAUUAUAACAUUGGUUCCUGUUCUAAUGUGCCUUACCUCCUAAUAAAAAUAUAAAAAAUAAAAUAAAAAAAAGAAAUGAUUGAAGCAUAUCAUGUCUCUAACAGCUCUUCCAUCUCGUGCAUCAGCAGGGGGGUCAGGAGUAUUAUCUAGAUCUUUGGGGGAAAGAGUAGGACAUUGUUUAAUUCAGAUUCAAUUUAAUUAAUUUAGAACGCUGCAGCACGAGUACUGACAGGAACUAGAAAAAGAGAUCACAUCUCUCCUGUACUAGCUUCUCUGCAUUGGCUCCCUGUAAAAUGUAGAAUUGAAUUUAAAAUCCUCCUCCUCACCUAUAAAGCUCUUCAUGGUCAGGCCCCUUCAUAUCUUAAAGAGCUCAUAGUACCCUAUUACCCCUCUAGAACACUACGUUCUCUGAAUGCUGGGCUACUUGUGGUUCCUAUAGUCUCUAAAAGUAGAACAGGAGCCAGAGCCUUCAGUUACCAAGCUCCUCUCUUGUGGAACCAGCUUCCAUUUGUGGUUCGGGAGGCAGACACCCUCACCACAUUCAAGAGUAGACUUAAGACAUUCCUCUUUGAUAAAGCUUAUAGUUAGGGCUGGAUCAGGUGAGUCCUGAACCAUCCCUUAGUUAUGCUGCUAUAGGCCUAGACUAUCAGGGGAUUUCCUAUGGUGCACUGAGCUCCUCCCUUCCUCUCUCUUUCUGCACUCAUUCAUGUCCCAUUAAUGCAUGUUACUAACUUCACUUCUUCCCCAGAGUUCUUGUGCUUUCUCGUCUCGCAGGUUCUUAUCGAUCCUGGUGGAGCCUCCUGCCAUGGUCCUGCUAGAUUGCCGUUGCCAAUACUGUUGUUGCUGUGCACCUGUCUGUCUGUCUGUCUGUCUGCCUGUCUGUCUGUCUGUCUGUCUGUCUCUCGCUCUCUCUCUCUCUCUCUCACCCCAACUGGUCGAGACAGACGACCACCCACCUAGAGCCGGAGGAUCUGUCCUAGGUUUCUGCCUUUUAACAGGCAGUUUUUCCUUGCCCUUGUCACCAAGUGCUUGCUCGUGGUGGUACUGUUGGGUCUCUGUAAUUAAUGUUUUAAAGAGUUCAGUCUAGACCUGCUCUAUUUGAAAAGUGUCCUGAGAUAACUUUUGGUAUGAAUUGGCGCUAUACAAAUAAAAUUGAAUUGAAUUGAA